UACGUAGGGUGCAAGCGUUGUCCGGAAUUAUUGGGCGUAAAGGGCUCGUAGGCGGUCCAUCGCGUCGGGAGUGAAAAGCUGGGGCUCAACCCCAGUCCUGCUUCCGAUACGGGUGGACUAGAGGUAUGCAGGGGAGAACGGAAUUCCUGGUGUAGCGGUGAAAUGCGCAGAUAUCAGGAAGAACACCCGUGGCGAAGGCGGCUCUCUGGAACGCAACUGACGCUGAGACGCGAAAGCGUGGGGAGCAAACAGG
RNAcentral lists this ribosomal RNA (253 nucleotides) under uncultured bacterium. Its description in RNAcentral is "partial 16S ribosomal RNA". It matches the Rfam family "Bacterial small subunit ribosomal RNA", at positions 524 to 776 of the family's 1533-position model. The record is from RNAcentral.